GGCGCUCCACGGCCCUGCUCUGGGCUCGCCUGAGUGCUGGGCUCUGCAGACGCAGGGAUGGGCCAGGCGAGCCCCUCACCACGGAGGUAGCAGGUCCAGAGGAAGCAGCAGAGGCUUCCUGGAGGAGGAUUUGUACCCCUAGGAGGACUAUGUCUUCCUCAUCUUUGUCUUCAGAGGAUAAAUACAAGGCCUGACACAUAACAAGCAUGAGACGGAGUCUCCCUCUGUUGCCCAGUCUGGAGUGCAGUGGUGUGACCUCGUCUCACUGCAGCCUCCACCCCCCAGGUUCAAGCAAUUCUCCUGCUUCAGCCUCCCAAGUAGCUGGG
Molecule: long non-coding RNA, 326 nt
Filed under: Homo sapiens (human)
Lineage: Eukaryota; Metazoa; Chordata; Mammalia; Primates; Hominidae
Description: non-protein coding LINC01771:17
Source: RNAcentral